This 97-nucleotide signal recognition particle RNA is filed under the name Actinomycetota bacterium. RNAcentral's name for it is "Actinobacteria bacterium signal recognition particle sRNA small type". It matches the Rfam family "Bacterial small signal recognition particle RNA". From Rfam's summary of the family: The signal recognition particle (SRP) is a universally conserved ribonucleoprotein involved in the co-translational targeting of proteins to membranes. Archaeal SRP consists of a 7S RNA and homologues of the eukaryotic SRP19 and SRP54 proteins. In most bacteria, the SRP consists of a 4.5S RNA and the Ffh protein (a homologue of the eukaryotic SRP54 protein). Lineage: Bacteria; Bacillati; Actinomycetota. The record is from RNAcentral.
GUCAGCCCCUCGCGUGGCGCUAACCAGGCCAACUCCCCUAGGUCAGAAAUGAAGCAAGGGUAACCGGGCUCUGGCGGGUGCGCGAGGGGUCUUAUCU